GGGAGGCGCGGGCGCACCUGAGGGGCGGUGGUGCGCGGGUGCGUGGCCAGCUGAGGGGGCAGCGGGGGCAAUACCCAUGCGUUCUAUUUCAAAUCAGCCUUUUUCUCUAUUGGGCCUAGAUAGAGGUAGCAGCACGUCAUGCUGCAGGGUGUCAGCCUGCCUGCUGUGCUUCCACAGGCCCGGGGAGCCCUGUCGUGCUCCCUUCCCUCUUCCCUGUAAUGGCGCUGCAACCUGCUGCCUCACAGCGGGCGGCCUCACCUCGCUUCCAGCCCGCGGUGGAGGGGAGGAAACAGAUGGCUUCACAAAGCUGAAUUUCUGCCAAGAAAACUUGAUGCGCUGUGGGAGCUCUUGGAGAGAAUUUCACAUGAACAAAGAAAAGGUGGGAAGUCUUGAAACAAAAGGCUCAAAUAGGGACCCUGGAAGCUGCUUCUCAACUCUUCCACCAGCAGAAGAAGUUCACCUUUGCGCUAGAGCUUUUCCUUACAACAUCGCAUGUCUAAAGCCAUGGACGGACUGAGCCGGACUGAAGCUAGCGGGAGAACUUCUGUGGCUGGGUGCUAGGAUUUCUCUUGCUGCCCAGCUCUUUGACUUGAAGGAGGUCAAAAAGGUCUUGUGGGUUCCAGUUACCCUUUGGGGUCUUCACAUACUGCAGCAAAUCCUGCUUUAAUGGGGGGAAGCCCUGCUCUUUUUCCAUCAGUUCCAGCAGCUGCUUCAUCAGGCUUGAAGUCUCGUCUCUGCUGAUGCUGUUGUAGAGAUCUGAGGGAUCUUGGCUUUUCUGAGAAUCCCACAUGGCAUUUGAAAGUGAAAUAUCCCUGCUGCUGGCUGUGUGCACGCUACCUAGGGCAUUGUGGAGCCACAUCAGGCGCUUCAGCCCUUGAAAUGCCCUCCCCUUGUCAUGCAUGAGCUGAUGCUCCGUCACUGCUCUUUUACUGCAAGGGGAAGAAAGAGUUGGUUAGGAAACAAGCACAGCCAGAUCUAAGCUCCUGUUUCAAAUGUGGCUGAUUUGCAUCCAUCAAUCUUAGCUGCUUCCCUAAGCUGAGGAGGGAGCACUGGUGGUGCCCACACCUGAGGGGGAGGACAGCGCCGCGGCAGGGUGAGCAGCGCUGGUGCCCAGAGCCAGCCUGGCCCUUGCCAGGCCCGCAGCUCCCACACCGGCUGGGUCGGGCAGCCCGUGGGGCAGCGGGCAGCCGGCUCCUGAGGAUGGGAACCUGGAACGCUGCCAUUCCCUAGAGGUAUACCUUGAACUGGGGAGACGGUGACAAAAUUACCUUAGCAGGAUUAAAAAGCUCUUGCAGAGAUUCGGUCUUUCCCAAAUCUGGGUUCUUUUCAGAGGUUUAAAUGCCAGAAUAAAAUCCCCUUUUUGUGACCUUAGUGUUCUAGCAUUGUUGGGUUUGUUUUUUUCCUUCCAGAGCUGUACGUCAGGAGUAAUUUAACUGAAAUGGGUGGUGUCCGUGAAAUGGAAACAAAUCCUCAUUUUCUUCAGAUAUACCAAAAAUUUUGAGCCAAACAUGACUGGGGAGGGCAGGCUAAUUCUGUGAUGGAAAUAUUUUUGGUUUUCAGGCUGUUUAGAUCACAGCUAACUGCAGCUAUAGACUCCCACUGCAGAUUUGGAUCUGAAUGGGAACCUAAAUAUGGAAUUUUAGUGUGUGCCAUUUCAUGGCUUGCGUUGAACAUCUUUAUAUGGUUUGCUACCCUGUGUUUAAAAGCAUCACCUGAACUGUGGUACAUGUUACACAUCUGAAAAUGCAGCUGGUCUAAUUUUAUGCUGCAUAAAGGGUGAUGUAAAAUUUUACUUCCACCAUGCCCUGCAGUAAAUGACAGCAGUGGAGAAUACAGCCCAUUAAAUCAAAGGCAAGCAGUCUUCCAAUGAUACUAAGUAAAAGGAUGGUAUUGCUUACUUUUCAGUGUCUUGACAUGUUGCAAAACAGGCAAAAAAAAGAAUUGCCAAAAAUGUAACCAUCUGCAGAGAUCUCUGGGGCAGGAACAUUUUCUCUCUU
Non-coding RNA from Phalacrocorax carbo (great cormorant), 1997 nucleotides. NCBI's taxonomy places the organism in Eukaryota, Metazoa, Chordata, Aves, Suliformes, Phalacrocoracidae. The record is from RefSeq and is a predicted model, not a curated record.